CUCCUUUUGUCUCACCUUUGGAUAUCUUUUCUUCCCCACUCUGCUUCCACCCGGCCCGAAUCAGGCUCACCGUAUCCAUUGAGCAGCUCACCGCACACACUCGCACGGGAUGGAGGGACGAAAGAGGGUAGGUGCGGCAGUUCGUUGACGGUGGCCGCGGCGGCUCCGUGCAGGGAGGCAGAGGCCCGUCGACGCCAUGGACGCGCCUGCGAUGGGGGGCGACGCUAUGGGAGUCCUCCCCGAGGGCGUUCUCCCAUCGGCGAGUGGGGUUCUCGCCCUCCAUGGGAUCUCGCCGCGGUUGGAGGUGUGGAUGGUGGCUGGCGCGGCGGCAUGCCCGGAGACCGUGGCGGAGGAUCUCCUCCGGGCGGCUGACCCUGCAGGGGCUGCCGUGGUGGCGUGCUCAAGCACUCAUGCUUGGGGCGGCUCCGACGACGCUUGAGGAGCUGCACAAUUGCAGAGUGCAGGCGGUCGUCCGGGGAGCGCGCGCCGUCAGCGCUGGCGGAGAGGAGCGGCGGGAAGACGACGCGUCCGACGGCGCGUCUACGACGUGAGGCUCGGAUUGCUGGUAAGGCCGAGGCUGUGCGUGCAACAUCCUCCAGGCGGCGCUGAACAGGGCAGGUGCGGGUGAAUGAGGAGGUCGCCUUCAUCCCGGCGAGAUCCAGUGUCCCCGCAGUCGCCGUACGUUGGAGCGUUGUGGCAGCUCGCCAGGAUGGCUCGCGCUGAUGCUAGGCACCAUCGCUGGUCUCCAUGCCCAAUGGCCAGAGAUGGCUCGCGCCGGUGCUCUAUGCGUCGAUGGUCUUCACGCCCGGUGCCAGGUUGGCCCAGCUCGGCGUGCCCCUGUGGCUGCGUUCCUAUUCUGCAACACUACCAGCAAAAGGAGCAAGCCGGGGGCGUUCACCAAUUGUUCGAUCUUGUACUUCAUCCCCUCUCCACGCUUCGACCCGCCAAAUCCCAUCAGGAAACUUUUUGCAAAGUGAGCAGUGCUUUCAACCCCUAUGUCAUUCCCUCUCAAUGAUUUAUUUGAUCAUGUCGUGCAUGAAUGCCUGUUAAAAACAUUCACGAGAUACCUGUUUAGAACAUUCAGGUAAUGCCGAGUGAGCAUAUUCCCUCUCUUCACGUUGCUACUGAUGUAUGCGUAGUGGACAUUGGCCCAUGAAUCAACCAUUUUACUUUCCGAUUCAACGAA
Molecule: non-coding RNA, 1186 nt
Organism: Aegilops tauschii subsp. strangulata
Lineage: Eukaryota; Viridiplantae; Streptophyta; Magnoliopsida; Poales; Poaceae
Source: RefSeq, a predicted model, not a curated record